Molecule: ribosomal RNA, 832 nt
Filed under: uncultured bacterium
Lineage: Bacteria
Description: bacterial SSU rRNA
Rfam family: Bacterial small subunit ribosomal RNA
Source: RNAcentral
AGAGUUUGAUCCUGGCUCAGAUUGAACGCUGGCGGUAUGCUUAAGACAUGCAAGUCGUGCGGUAGAAGGCUUCGGCUUUUGAGAGCGGCGGACGGGUGAGUAACACGUGGGAAUCUGCCUAUUAGUGGGGGACAGCCCAGCGAAAGCUGGAUUAAUACCGCAUACGCCCUACGGGGGAAAGCAGCAAUGCGCUAAUAGAUGAGCCCGCGUAAGAUUAGCUAGUUGGUAAGGUAAAGGCUUACCAAGGCGACGAUCUUUAGCUGGUCUAAAAGGAAGGCCAGCCACAUCGGGACUGAGACACGGCCCGGACUCCUACGGGAGGCAGCAGUCGGGAAUAUUGGACAAUGGGCGCAAGCCUGAUCCAGCAAUACCGCGUGUGUGAAGAAGGCCUGCGGGUUGUAAAGCACUUUCAGUUGGGAAGAUAAUGACGUUACCAACAGAAGAAGCACCGGCUAACUCCGUGCCAGCAGCCGCGGUAAUACGGAGGGUGCAAGCGUUAAUCGGAAUUACUGGGCGUAAAGCGUGCGUAGGCGGUUAUUUAAGUCAGAUGUGAAAUCCCCGGGCUCAACCUAGGAACUGCAUCUGAUACUGGGUGACUAGAGUGUGGGAGAGGAGAGUGGAAUUUCCGGUGUAGCGGUGAAAUGCAUAGAGAUCGGAAGGAACAUCAGAGGCGAAGGCGACUCUCUGGACCAACACUGACGCUGAGGCACGAAAGCGUGGGUAGCAAACAGGAUUAGAUACCCUGGUAGUCCACGCCGUAAACGAUGUCAACUAGCCGUCAGUCUCGCUUUAGAGAUUGGUGGUGGAGCUAACGUAUUAAGUGACCGCCUGG